CGUGUAGGUGGUUUAGUAAGUCUGGCGUGAAAUUUUUCGGCUUAACCGGGAAAGGUCGUCGGAUACUGCAAGACUAGAGGACGGUAGAGGCGUGUGGAAUUCCGGGUGUAGUGGUGAAAUGCGUAGAGAUCCGGAGGAACACCAGUGGCGAAGGCGACACGCUGGGCCGUACCUGACACUGAUGCGCGACAGCAUGGGGAAGCAAACAG
RNAcentral lists this ribosomal RNA (209 nucleotides) under uncultured bacterium. RNAcentral describes it as "partial 16S ribosomal RNA". It matches the Rfam family "Bacterial small subunit ribosomal RNA", at positions 568 to 775 of the family's 1533-position model. The record is from RNAcentral.